RNAcentral lists this long non-coding RNA (379 nucleotides) under Vigna radiata. RNAcentral describes it as "long non-coding RNA (VRAD_LNC015105)". Lineage: Eukaryota; Viridiplantae; Streptophyta; Magnoliopsida; Fabales; Fabaceae. The record is from RNAcentral.
GAUAGUUCGAAUGAAAUAUUAUGAAAAAGCAACAAAUGAUAACAUUACUUUUCACAGUAAGACAGUAACAGAACAAUGAGAAGAAAAAUAGCAAGCAAUGAAUAGAAGAAAAUCAUAACAAAUUAGGAAAAAACAAAUUAACAAAACCUACUUCGUCAGAUUUCGGAGAUUUCGACCAACUGUGGAGGCAAAAGUAGAAACAGUGCUUUCAGUUCGCUGGCAUUCGUCUUCCCCUAACCUAGCUCUUCUUCUCUCUAUAGUCUAAACCACAACCACGGAGGGAGUGUUCUCGGAGUGUGUUCAGAGGGAGGAGUGCCGAGAAAUUAGAGAUGCGUGGUGUGGGAGUGUCGAGAAAUUAGAGAUGCAUGGUGUUGAUGUG